Molecule: transfer RNA, 65 nt
Filed under: Dipodomys ordii (Ord's kangaroo rat)
Lineage: Eukaryota; Metazoa; Chordata; Mammalia; Rodentia; Heteromyidae
Rfam family: tRNA
About the family: Transfer RNA (tRNA) molecules are approximately 80 nucleotides in length. Their secondary structure includes four short double-helical elements and three loops (D, anti-codon, and T loops). Further hydrogen bonds mediate the characteristic L-shaped molecular structure. tRNAs have two regions of fundamental functional importance: the anti-codon, which is responsible for specific mRNA codon recognition, and the 3' end, to which the tRNAs corresponding amino acid is attached (by aminoacyl-tRNA synthetases). tRNAs cope with the degeneracy of the genetic code in two manners: having more than one tRNA (with a specific anti-codon) for a particular amino acid; and 'wobble' base-pairing, i.e. permitting non-standard base-pairing at the 3rd anti-codon position.
Source: Rfam by way of RNAcentral
GAUGGCUCAGUGGUAGAGUGCUUGCCUUGCAUGCAUGAGGCCCUAGGUUUGAUUACUUAGCAUCA